RNAcentral lists this ribosomal RNA (1141 nucleotides) under human gut metagenome. RNAcentral describes it as "bacterial LSU rRNA". It matches the Rfam family "Bacterial large subunit ribosomal RNA", at positions 815 to 2045 of the family's 2925-position model. The record is from RNAcentral.
GUAGCGGAGAAAUUCCAAUCGAACCCGGAGAUAGCUGGUUCUCCCCGAAAUAGUUUUAGGACUAGCCUCAAGUUAGAUACCUGGAGGUAAAGCACUGAAUAGCCUAGCGGCCGAGAGGUUAGCGAAGCUUAUCAAACUCAGAAUGCCAGAGUAUUGAUGCUUGGGAGUCAGACAGUGUCAGAUAAAUGUCAUUGUCAAAAGGGAAACAGCCCAGAUCUACAGCUAAGGUCCCAAAGUCAGGUUAAGUGGAAAACGAUGUGAAGAUACGCAGACAACCAGGAUGUUGGCUCAGAAGCAGCCACUCAUUCAAAGAGUGCGUAAUAGCUCACUGGUCGAGCGUCUUUGCGCGGAGAAUUUAACGGGGCUAAACCUGACACCGAAGCUUAGGCAAUGUAGUAAUACAUUGGGUAGGGGAGCGUUGUAUACGCGGAGAAACAGUAGCGCAAGCGGCUGUGGAGUGUAUAGAAGUGAGAAUGCCGGAAUGAGUAGCGCGAAUGCAGUGAGAAUCUGCAUGGCCGAAAGCCUCAGGUUUCUGGAGGAAGGUUCGUCCGCUCCAGGUUAGUCGGGAGCUAAGGUGAGGCCGAAAGGCGUAGCCGAUGCACAGACGGUAGAGAUUCCGUCACCACCAAAAGAGUUAAGCACAGGGACACAUAUGAAGUCUCGGAGCCGGGUGUUGGUUCCGGUAGCGAUCGAGGGAAGUUAGUACCGAAGUCUGAGAUGGAAGAUGGCGAGAAAAGCUGUGUGUAUUUCUGAGGUGCCCGUACCGCAAACCGACACAGGUAGGUAGGAAGAAGAUUCUAAGGCCAACGGGAGAAGGGUUGUUAAGGAACUCGGCAAAUUGACCCCGUAACUUCGGGAGAAGGGGUGCUCCAGAGAUGGAGCCGCAGAGAAUCGGCCCAAGCAACUGUUUACCAAAAACACAGGUUUGUGCUAAAUCGAAAGAUGACGUAUACGAGCUGACGCCUGCCCGGUGCUGGAAGGUUAAGAGGAGAUGUGCAAGCAUUGAAUCGAAGCCCCAGUGAACGGCGGCCGUAACUAUAACGGUCCUAAGGUAGCGAAAUUCCUUGUCAGGUAAGUUCUGACCCGCACGAAUGGCGUAAUGAUUUGGGCACUGUCUCAACAGCCCACCCGGCGAAAUUGU